UGUGUCGAUACAACAAAAUUAAGUGAAUGUAUACAACCUAUCGUAGUCGUAUCGAUCAAGAUUAUAAGCACUGCUACAACUAUUAAAGAGAAUGCAUACAGGUGAUACAAACUAGUAAUGAAUGAUUAAAGUAGAACGAAUAAAUACAAGUGAAAUUAGAGUGAUUGAAUACAAGCGAUACACGCUCGUAACAAUUGAUACAAGUGAUUGUAU
RNAcentral lists this long non-coding RNA (213 nucleotides) under Capsicum annuum. RNAcentral describes it as "long non-coding RNA (CANN_LNC010936)". The record is from RNAcentral. Lineage: Eukaryota; Viridiplantae; Streptophyta; Magnoliopsida; Solanales; Solanaceae.